AUGGACUUAAGGCUCAUAUUAGUUUUCUUUGUCCUUAUUUUAAAAGGUGUCCAGUGUGAGGUGCAGUUGCUAGAGUCUGGGGGAGACUUAGUGCAGCCUGGAAAGUCCCUGAAACUCUCCUGUGCAGCCUCUGGAUUCACCUUCAGUGAUUAUUACAUGGACUGGGUCCGCCAGACUCCAGGGAAGGGACUGGAGUUGGUUGCAGAGAUUAAUCCAAAUAGUGAUAGCACCUGGUAUACCGACGCUGUGAAGGGCCGGUUCACAAUCUCCAGAGACAAUGCCAAGAACACUCUGCAUCUGGAAAUGAGCAGUCUGAUGUCUGAGGACACAGCCAUGUAUUACUGUGCAAGAGACACAGAACCUCCCUCAGUGAACAAGAGCCUUCCCACUCAGACUAAAAGCUCAGGCCUGAGAGGCCGCAUCCACUUCUCACUAAGGUCUCCAGUAGGGCCUGAUUGUCCUGGUGCUGCUCCUAUGCCUGGUGACCUUUCCAAGCUGUAA
Non-coding RNA from Chionomys nivalis (European snow vole), 501 nucleotides. The record is from the annotation of a RefSeq genome assembly. NCBI's taxonomy places the organism in Eukaryota, Metazoa, Chordata, Mammalia, Rodentia, Cricetidae.